Molecule: ribosomal RNA, 159 nt
Filed under: Prasinoderma coloniale
Lineage: Eukaryota; Viridiplantae; Prasinodermophyta; Prasinodermophyceae; Prasinodermales; Prasinodermaceae
Description: 5.8S ribosomal RNA
Rfam family: 5.8S ribosomal RNA
About the family: 5.8S ribosomal RNA (5.8S rRNA) is a component of the large subunit of the eukaryotic ribosome. It is transcribed by RNA polymerase I as part of the 45S precursor that also contains 18S and 28S rRNA.
Source: RNAcentral
AGACAACUCUCAACAACGGAUAUCUUGGCUCUCGCAACGAUGAAGAACGCAGCGAACUGCGAUACGUAGUGUGAAUUGCAGAAUUCCGUGAAUCAUCGAACCUUUGAACGCAUAUUGCGCCGAAGCAUCCGCGACGGCACGUCUGCCUCAGAGUCGUUG